UCCUGAGUUCACGUGCAAACUAUUUUAUUGAAAGAAUGUAUAAUUAAAAAUAAUUUCGAGAACGUGACCCAAUGGCUUAGUCGAACAAUUUACAACAUUUCUUCAAAAAGCUUACACAAUAUUAUUGAUGAAUUUCUUUAUUUUAUAUAUUAAUACCUUCAAUAGGCUCCUUCAUGUCACGUGCAAGCUUCCUGUUCAAUAUCAGCGAAAAUUGACUUGUGAUGUAGCUUGAACUAGAUUAUACAAAAGCUUGAGCUGUUCGAUAAUGUCCAUUUGAACGUCGAAACCCUGAGGAAACAUUUCACCUUCUCCGGAAUCAACCAUUCUCAUUAGUUCGAAUUAGGCUGUCUUCGCUGUCUGAAUAAUACUAAUGUAUCAACUGUGGUGGUGUGAGUAUUUUCUUGACAUCAAUCCAAGGCAAGGAUUUUGUCUUCUUCUUAGGUGAUGAAGCUUUGCCCUUUUUGCCAAGAGAUCUUCAGUUGAUCAGAUCUAAUACGAAUCAUACAUGGGCAAUGGUUGGAGUCAACAGCUUUCCUAAGAAUCCCUCAUCUGAGAUCCAUGGGGAAGAGGAUCAAGUUGCUUCCUCUGGAACCAACAUCGCCUUGGCCAUUCCUUCAUGGCCAGAAUCAGUAAGAAGUUGUGCUUUCAACGAGGAUGAUCGAGUAAUGGCCAUUACGAGCUUCUAAAUGAAGAAUGAGGACCGAUAGUGAAGACUUUUCAGUGGAAAAUUCCGUGUAGAAUCUGAAUUUUUGGGGUUCAGUUGAUACCCCAAAAGAAUCGGAUAAUACGAAUGAGAAAAAAUCAAGGAAGAAUCUGGGUAAACUCCAAAAUAUUAUGUGGAAUAGUUUUGGUAGCUGAAGAUUGCGUGAAUUAUCAAACUGUAAAAUCGAUAAUCGAUAAUACAUUAACUAAUCGGCCCUCGAUCCCCAAGCCAUAAACAAAAGAAAAUGGAGAAGAAAACCACACGUAGAAUAGAAAUAUUAAACACUAGGGAUGAGCAUCACCAGCUAGAUUCAAUGUCCACAUGGAUCUUGGAUCGCGUCAUUUCUACUGUAAAAAUUUUAAAUAUCUGAUCCCAGGAUUAUUAUUAUUAUUAUUAUUUUUUCCAAAUAAAAAAUGAUCAUGAUUCAGAAACGCCAAUCUUUGAUUGAGAAUUAUCCAAUCAUUAUUGUUAAAUAAGUACAUCUGACAUUACAAGUUACAGACUGAGAUUCAGAAAAUGGCAAAAGCACAAACUCAUUAGAGCUUGUGAAAUGCUGAAUAGACAAAUUACAACAACAAAAUAACAGAGUGAAAAAAGAAGAAAAAAACCGAGCCAAAUCUAGUACGGAAAGCAAAUAGAGGCUUUCAUAAAAAUUCUCGUAGAAUCGAGAAGAAAUACUGGUUCAGUCACCCUUGGCAGCUUUUUUCUCCUUAGGUUUGCCCUUUUUGGGCUUCAUGAAGCAGAAACAUGAGCAACAUGGACACUGGAAUAAGAACUUCAUAGCUCUCUCACCCUUUAUUGGUUUUGUGUCUCAAUUCUCAAAUGGUUCUCAAAAUCAGUAUGUAUAGGAAAAGUAAUGCAUUUACAAAAGCUUUUUAUUUACUUUUAUUCUAUUUUAAAAGUUAUAAUUAUAUGACUUUUAUCAUGGGAUUCCAUUUCAAUCACUUUCAAUAAUGAAGAUGCCUGCC
RNAcentral lists this long non-coding RNA (1671 nucleotides) under Olea europaea subsp. europaea. Lineage: Eukaryota; Viridiplantae; Streptophyta; Magnoliopsida; Lamiales; Oleaceae. The record is from RNAcentral.